RNAcentral lists this long non-coding RNA (1593 nucleotides) under Citrus maxima (pomelo). Its description in RNAcentral is "long non-coding RNA (CMAX_LNC000665)". The record is from RNAcentral. Lineage: Eukaryota; Viridiplantae; Streptophyta; Magnoliopsida; Sapindales; Rutaceae.
UUGGCACUUGAAUAGAAAGUAUGACUGUAAUUACAGAAACUCCCCCUACCGUUUGUACUUAUUUUCCUUGACCGUUAGUUGACCAGAGAUAGGUCGAAAUUACAUUUGCCCCUGAAAAAAGUCUAAAAUGCCUUUGGUGCCAAUUAUUAAAUAUUAAGCUAAUCAUUGCAACACCUUAGGAAAUAAAAAUUCCCCACCAAGUAUCUUCAACUGGGGAAAACAAAACUACCACUAGGAAACUUGGCUAGCCAGACUAUACAGUAAAAUAAAAUUCAACAUAAUACAACAGUUCAAAAUCAACUUUGGUAUUUCUAAUACACAAUAACCUUGACAUUUGUUUAGUUCCAUUGAUCUUUAAAAUCCUCCUAGUUGCAUGAUAUUUUCCAACCAUCUCCUUUGGAAUAAGAAUUUAUUCUCCACCACUAACUUCGACCUUUACUGUUUUUUCUUUUACUUCUUUGUGAAGUACAACUACCUUAUUUUCCAAAUUUUCAGCAUAUCCUGCCUUCUUUCUUUCCAAUUAUUCCUGCCAAAUUUACUAAAUGUGCUGAAGAUGAAAUGGGAAGUAGAGUAAAGAAAAAAAAAAUCUAGAAACAAGAAGAGUCAGGUAACCUCCACCUUCUUUGAGUUGGGCUUAUAAAAUUCCCUCUUACUAGCUUCACAUGCAGCAGUGGCCGAGAGCUUUUUGGCCUUGAUCAAAUUUUUUACAAUUAAUUCAAUUCAAAUAUGAUCUGUAGAAAAAAUAUUAAAAAAAUUAUAUUUUUACACAUCAUGGUUAAAAAAAUUAUAUUUCUUCAUUGUAUUUAUCACUAAUGCUUUUCUUAUCAAGUGACGAAAAAAUCUCCAUAUUAAGGAGCACAAGCAAUAUCCUUUUCAACUUCUUCAAAACAUCACAAACAAACCCAUAUUUUCUAAUAUUAUUAAUACAUACAACUUCACUAAUUUCUAACCUACAUAGGUAUAUUUAGUUCAAGCACAUGUUAAGAAGUCAAAUCUUCCAAACAUCAUCCAUAUUAUUCAUAACAGUGCUAACCCAUUUUUAUUUGACAAAGAACCCACAUAAAAAUCACUAAUUUCUAACAUCAUAUGUUUUGAUUAGCUCAUAACUUGACAAAUUAGAUGGUAAAAAUCUAAAAGUAACAAACAACAUGCAUCUUCUUCAACACAUCAACAAACUGAUAUAAUUUUUUAGUGAACAACACAAUGCCAGUAAUUUCUCCAGCACUUCACAAGCCCAUUUUCAUUUUCAAACAAAAAAAAAAAUGUCCAAUCUAUGAUUAAAAUAAAAUAAAAUAAUAAUUAAUUUAAAAUAAAAUACAUUAAAAAAAUAAAAAUCCACAAUCUUUUCAAGAUUAACCUUCUUUACUCCAGUUCAAUGCAGUCAUGUAUGACACCGAACGCCAUUGAUUUUCACAUGAUGUCACCCUUAAGCCACCACUGACACUUUUCUUGUUAACAAAUCUAAGCUAAAGUUGCGGGGUUUGGUGACUAAAAUUUGAUUUUUGUUUUUUUUCCAUCUUCAAAGCAUUUACAUAGGUGGAUGGGUAUGUGUGUGCUUCGGUUGAUGAAAGAGAAAAUAGUUUUUAGUGUUUC